UCACCCUUAAAUAGACCUUUUAAAAAGCAACCAUCCAAAUCUAGUAUAGGUCUGCACCCUUCUUUCCAACCUCUUUUCAAUGCUUCAAAAAAGACAUAAAACCUCUUGAAAUGUGGUGGAUAUUCAGGUGUGACUCUAUCCACUGCCAUCUUUAUAGUACUUCCAGGAUUCUUUGCAAAUUCAUGUACGAAGUUCUCUGCCAACUUAUCCUUCACCAUUUUCUUGGCCCUUCUACACCUUGUUAUAUUAACAUUGACAUGCAUUCCUGAAGCUACCUUUCUUUGUAUCUCCCUUAACUUUAUUUUUAAGUGGUCCCCAAUAGCAGCUUCAAAA
Molecule: long non-coding RNA, 333 nt
Filed under: Gossypium barbadense (sea-island cotton)
Lineage: Eukaryota; Viridiplantae; Streptophyta; Magnoliopsida; Malvales; Malvaceae
Description: long non-coding RNA (GBAR_LNC018458)
Source: RNAcentral